This 253-nucleotide ribosomal RNA is filed under the name uncultured bacterium. Its description in RNAcentral is "partial 16S ribosomal RNA". It matches the Rfam family "Bacterial small subunit ribosomal RNA", at positions 524 to 776 of the family's 1533-position model. The record is from RNAcentral.
UACGUAGGUGGCAAGCGUUGUCCGGAUUUACUGGGCGUAAAGCGUAUGCAGGCGGAUUGUUAAGUAGGAAGUGAAAGGUUGGAGCUCAACUCUAACACUGCUCCCUAUACUGGCAGUCUUGAGUGGCGGAGAGGAAGAUGGAACGACACGUGUAGCGGUGAAAUGCGUUGAUAUGUGUCGGAACACCAAUGGCGAAAGCAAUCUUCUGGACGCAAACUGACGCUGAGAUACGAAAGCCAAGGUAGCAAACAGG